UCUGGCUCCUCUGCGGGCCUUGACUCUGGCAGCUCCUGAGGCCUGGUGGGGACAGCAGGACUGUGUCCCCUUAUCCUCAUCCCAUUCUGAGCAUCAGCCCAACCAAGGCCAGUGGGCCAGUAGGCUGGGACACAGGCCCAGUUCUAAAGAGCUGGAGAGAGUGUGACCAAGGGACAGUGACCCAAUGGGUAAACUGAACAGGGUCAUAAGAUCACUGAGGGUCAGAACCCCUCCCAGAGUACACCACUCCCAGAGUACAGAUGGGGACCUGAGCCCAGAGACAGCAAAGGGCUUGCCCAAGGCCACCAGCCACAAUCCCAUCUCUGUGUUCUUGGAAACUGCUGCUUGAGAGGCCCGGGGAGGAUUCCACGGCGGCCUCCCUGACAGGCUGUGGGGCUAGAGGCUGAGGGAAGCAGGCUUGGCUGAUGCCCACUCAAUAAAUGCCAGUCUGGUCCCCAGAGAGAAGCCAAGCUGGGCCCAGAACUCCACAGGGGCUGGGGGCUGGGGGCGGAAGUGGAGCCCACCUUUCACGUGCAGACUCUGGGAGCUCGUGCCUGGGUGCUCUGCUGGGGGCUGCGCCUCUGGGAAGAGGGCAGGUGGUCAGGACUCAGAAGCACCUCGGCUGCUUGCCUUCCUUCUAGGUUGGCUUGAUUGUCUAGUUGCUCAUGUCCCAGUCCUGGGGUGUGGGCAGGCCUGGCCACACUUAUCUGAGGGCACCUGACCCUCACCCCGAGCAGCUGAUGCUGCAGCUUCCAGUGCCAGCUGCCCCCAAAGCCCUGCUCCUGCCCCCAGGGAUCCAGUUCAACCUGGAGUACAGGCUCUUGUGCAUUUGUGGACAGAUGGGCAGCUCAGCCCAAGAGGCCCCACUCCUGGACCUGAGCCCCCAGAGCCUGCAUCUUGCUCCUGUUGCUAGCCAGGGAGAGGCACUGAAGGAGCAGACUGCAUCCCCAUCUGAGAGGACCCCCACCUCAUCCUCUGUGCCUGCAGACACCCUCACACAGGCUUGUGGGUUUGGGCAGG
RNAcentral lists this long non-coding RNA (1020 nucleotides) under Equus asinus (donkey). RNAcentral describes it as "lncRNA (ENSEASG00005033114.1, ENSEASG00020035568.1)". Lineage: Eukaryota; Metazoa; Chordata; Mammalia; Perissodactyla; Equidae. The record is from RNAcentral.